CAAUAGCGUAUAUUAAAGUUGUUGCAGUUAAAAAGCUCGUAGUUGGAUUUGUGGUUCGUCCCGCCGGCUGGGUCAUUGACUUUUGCUGUGCUGGUCGUCCAUCCUUGGGUGGAAUCUGUGUGGCAUUAGGUUGUCGCGCAGGGGAGGCCCAUCGUUUACUGUGAAAAAAUUAGAGUGUUCAAAGCAGGCUUAUGCCGUUGAAUAUAUUAGCAUGGAAUAAUGAUAUAGGACCUUGGUACUAUUUUGUUGGUUUGCGCACUGAGGUAAUGAUUAAUAGGGACAGUUGGGGGUAUUCGUAUUCCAUUGUAAGAGGUGAAAUUCUUGGAUUUUUGGAAGACGAACUACUGCGAAAGCAUUUACCAAGGAUGUUUUCAUUAA
Molecule: ribosomal RNA, 378 nt
Filed under: uncultured eukaryote
Lineage: Eukaryota
Description: partial 18S ribosomal RNA
Rfam family: Eukaryotic small subunit ribosomal RNA
Source: RNAcentral